RNAcentral lists this transfer RNA (72 nucleotides) under Emericellopsis fuci. Its description in RNAcentral is "Acremonium fuci tRNA-Gln". It matches the Rfam family "tRNA". From Rfam's summary of the family: Transfer RNA (tRNA) molecules are approximately 80 nucleotides in length. The record is from RNAcentral. Lineage: Eukaryota; Fungi; Ascomycota; Sordariomycetes; Hypocreales; Bionectriaceae. RNAcentral also lists the same sequence under 1 other name.
UCUUGAGUCGAUUAAUGGGCAGAUCGUGAACUUUUGGUGUUCAUAGUGAGUGUUCGAAUCACUCCUCGAGAA